RNAcentral lists this transfer RNA (72 nucleotides) under Camelus bactrianus (Bactrian camel). It matches the Rfam family "tRNA". From Rfam's summary of the family: Transfer RNA (tRNA) molecules are approximately 80 nucleotides in length. RNAcentral also lists the same sequence under 2 other names. Lineage: Eukaryota; Metazoa; Chordata; Mammalia; Artiodactyla; Camelidae. The record is from Rfam by way of RNAcentral.
GGCGGCACAGCUCAGCAGUGGGGCGCGUGCCUGGCGCGCACGCGGUCCUGGGUUCAAUCCCCAGUGCCUCCG